UAAGGCAAUGCAUAUACAUCAGCCUCCGGAAGAUACUGUGCGCGAGGCCAGCUUCCAUAACUCAGGUCAUAGUUGAUAGUUUCAUGCCGCUUACUCUCGUGCCUGUCUCCAUGUUUUUGAAAUAGCCAUUCUUGAUCAUCCAAAUCAGUCUGCUCAGCCUGCAACAGCGGAGGGACCCAGUCCUCUACUAGAGCUUUAUACCGAGAUUCUGCUCUCUGCUUCUUACUUUUGCUUGACCUUGAUCCUUUGCUGGCAUUGGCAUCAUUUUGUACAACAAUUUCAGGCACCUUGGAGGUUGAACAAAGCAAUUGCUGGUCAGGGUUGAGUUUCUGGUCAACAGUACUGGUUCUCAUAGAAAAGAUUGGUGGCGCUUCAAUAGAUUGACCAGAUAUUUCAUACUUUUGUUGGGCAGGUAAAUCCACCCUUCCAGAGGUACUGCAGCUCUCCGCUCUCAGUGAUGCCUCAGGCUCUCUCAGAUUUGUAAGUGGCAUCCAUACUGAGCGGUUCUGUUCUUUUCUGAGUAAUGUUUCAGGUUCUUUGUGCUUUGAUAUAGAGCAGCUCUUCUCUUUGUUGAGUGAUGCCUCAGGUUCUUUGUGCUUUAGAAGUGGCAGCUGCAUAGAACUGCUCUGUUCCUUGCUGACUGAUGCCUCAGGUUCUUUGCGCUUUAGGAGUGGCAGCCGCAUGGAACUGCUGUGUUCCUUGCUGACUGAUGCCUCAGGUUCCUUGUGCUUUAGGAGUGGCAGUCGCAUGGAACUGCUCUGUUCCUUGCCGAGUGAUGCCUCAGGUCCAUAGUCCUUUGGAAGUGGCAGCCGUUCUGAGCAGUUCUGCUCUUUGGUGAGUGAUGCCUCCGGUUCUUUGGGCUUUGGAAGUGGCAGACGUAACCGAAUAAUGUUCCCUGCUUGAUGUUCAUAAUGAUUUAAAAAUUAUUAAGUGCCCGCUGAGGGUUUAAACUAACAGACACAGACAAAGAGAGGGGGAGCCAGAGGAGAAGCAAACAACAUACACCUCUAACAAGUGGAAAAUCACAUACUCACCA
Molecule: long non-coding RNA, 1036 nt
Filed under: Vitis vinifera (wine grape)
Lineage: Eukaryota; Viridiplantae; Streptophyta; Magnoliopsida; Vitales; Vitaceae
Description: long non-coding RNA (VVIN_LNC006099)
Source: RNAcentral